GAUUAAGUUAUUAAGGGCGCACGGUGGAUGCCUUGGCACUAGAAGCCGAUGAAGGACGUUACUAACGACGAUAUGCUUUGGGGAGCUGUAAGUAAGCUUUGAUCCAGAGAUUUCCGAAUGGGGAAACCCAGCAUGAGUUAUGUCAUGUUAUCGAUAUGUGAAUACAUAGCAUAUCAGAAGGCACACCCGGAGAACUGAAACAUCUUAGUAACCGGAGGAAGAGAAAGAAAAUUCGAUUCCCUUAGUAGCGGCGAGCGAAACGGGAAGAGCCCAAACCAACAAGCUUGC
RNAcentral lists this ribosomal RNA (288 nucleotides) under Staphylococcus aureus. RNAcentral's name for it is "partial 23S ribosomal RNA". It matches the Rfam family "Bacterial large subunit ribosomal RNA", at positions 1 to 286 of the family's 2925-position model. Lineage: Bacteria; Bacillati; Bacillota; Bacilli; Caryophanales; Staphylococcaceae. The record is from RNAcentral.